AGAGUUUGAUCCUGGCUCAGAUUGAACGCUGGCGGCAGGCCUAACACAUGCAAGUCGAGCGGAUGAGUGGAGCUUGCUCCAUGAUUCAGCGGCGGACGGGUGAGUAAUGCCUAGGAAUCUGCCUAUUAGUGGGGGACAACGUUUCGAAAGGAACGCUAAUACCGCAUACGUCCUACGGGAGAAAGCAGGGGACCUUCGGGCCUUGCGCUAAUAGAUGAGCCUAGGUCGGAUUAGCUAGUUGGUGAGGUAAUGGCUCACCAAGGCGACGAUCCGUAACUGGUCUGAGAGGAUGAUCAGCCACACUGGGACUGAGACACGGUCCAGACUCCUACGGGAGGCAGCAGUGGGGAGUAUUGGACAAUGGGCGAAAGCCUGAUCCAGCCAUGCCGCGUGUGUGAAGAAGGUCUUCGGAUUGUAAAGCACUUUAAGUUGGGAGGAAGGGCAUUAACCUAAUACGUUAGUGUUUUGACGUUACCGACAGAAUAAGCACCGGCUAACUUCGUGCCAGCAGCCGCGGUAAUACGAAGGGUGCAAGCGUUAAUCGGAAUUACUGGGCGUAAAGCGCGCGUAGGUGGUUUGUUAAGUUGGAUGUGAAGGCCCCGGGCUCAACCUGGGAACUGCAUCCAAAACUGGCAAGCUAGAGUAUGGCAGAGGGUGGUGGAAUUUCCUGUGUAGCGGUGAAAUGCGUAGAUAUAGGAAGGAACACCAGUGGCGAAAGCGACCACCUGGGCUAAUACUGACACUGAGGUGCGAAAGCGUGGGGAGCAAACAGGAUUAGAUACCCUGGUAGUCCACGCCGUAAACGAUGUCGACUAGCCGUUGGGAUCCUUGAGAUCUUAGUGGCGCAGCUAACGCAUUAAGUCGACCGCCUGGGGAGUACGGCCGCAAGGUUAAAACUCAAAUGAAUUGACGGGGGG
RNAcentral lists this ribosomal RNA (917 nucleotides) under uncultured bacterium. RNAcentral describes it as "bacterial SSU rRNA". It matches the Rfam family "Bacterial small subunit ribosomal RNA", at positions 8 to 920 of the family's 1533-position model. The record is from RNAcentral.